GACGAACGCUGGCGGCGUGCCUAAUACGUGCAAGUUGAGCGCUGAAGGUUGGUACUUGUCCCAACUGGAUGAGCAGCGAACGGGCGAGUAACGCGUGGGAAAUCUGCCUUUGAGCGGGGGACAACAUUUGGAAACGAAUGCUAAUACCGCAUAAAAACUUUAAACACAAGUUUUAAGUUUGAAAGAUGCAAUUGCAUCACUCAAAGAUGAUCCCGCGUUGUAUUAGCUAGUUGGUGAGGUAAAGGCUCACCAAGGCGAUGAUACAUAGCCGACCUGAGAGGGUGAUCGGCCACAUUGGGACUGAGACACGGCCCAAACUCCUACGGGAGGCAGCAGUAGGGAAUCUUCGGCAAUGGACGAAAGUCUGACCGAGCAACGCCGCGUGAGGGAAGAAGGUUUUCGGAUCGUAAAACUCUGUUGGUAGAGAAGAACGUUGGUGAGAGUGGAAAGCUCAUCAAGUGACGGUAACUACCCAGAAAGGGACGGCUAACUACGUG
This 497-nucleotide ribosomal RNA is filed under the name uncultured bacterium. RNAcentral's name for it is "partial 16S ribosomal RNA". It matches the Rfam family "Bacterial small subunit ribosomal RNA", at positions 28 to 507 of the family's 1533-position model. The record is from RNAcentral.